GGGCGUUUCGGGAUUAACUCCAACCCCUGUGACAUACCACUUGUUGCCUCGGCGGAUCAGCCCGCUCCCGGUAAAACGGGACGGCCCGCCAGAGGACCCCUAAACUCUGUUUCUAUAUGUAACUUCUGAGUAAAACCAUAAAUAAAUCAAAACUUUCAACAACGGAUCUCUUGGUUCUGGCAUCGAUGAAGAACGCAGCAAAAUGCGAUAAGUAAUGUGAAUUGCAGAAUUCAGUGAAUCAUCGAAUCUUUGAACGCACAUUGCGCCCGCCAGUAUUCUGGCGGGCAUGCCUGUUCGAGCGUCAUUUCAACCCUCAAGCACAGCUUGGUGUUGGGACUCGCGUUAAUUCGCGUUCCUCAAAUUGAUUGGCGGUCACGUCGAGCUUCCAUAGCGUAGUAGUAAAACCCUCGUUACUGGUAAUCGUCGCGGCCACGCCGUUAAACCCCAACUUCUGAAUGUUGACCUCGGAUCAGGUAGGAAUACCCGCUGAACUUAAGCAUAUCAAAAGCCGGAGGAA
This 517-nucleotide ribosomal RNA is filed under the name Fusarium oxysporum. RNAcentral's name for it is "eukaryotic LSU rRNA". The stretch from base 151 to 304 matches the Rfam family "5.8S ribosomal RNA". Lineage: Eukaryota; Fungi; Ascomycota; Sordariomycetes; Hypocreales; Nectriaceae. The record is from RNAcentral.